Molecule: unclassified non-coding RNA, 28 nt
Filed under: Mus musculus (house mouse)
Lineage: Eukaryota; Metazoa; Chordata; Mammalia; Rodentia; Muridae
Description: oocyte_clustered_small_RNA1194
Source: RNAcentral
UGCCUAGGAAUUUGAAAAAUUCAUUCCU